GAUGAACGCUGACAGAAUGCUUAACACAUGCAAGUCAACUUGAACUUCGGUUUGGGUGGCGGACGGGUGAGUAACGCGUAAAGAACUUGCCUCACAGAUAGGGACAACAUUUGGAAACGAAUGCUAAUACCUGAUAUUAUGAUUAUAUGGCAUCGUAUAAUUAUGAAAGCUAUAUGCGCUGUGAGAGAGCUUUGCGUCCCAUUAGCUAGUUGGAGAGGUAACGGCUCACCAAGGCGAUGAUGGGUAGCCGGCCUGAGAGGGUGAUCGGCCACAAGGGGACUGAGACACGGACCUUACUCCUACGGGAGGCAACAGUGGGGAAUAUUGGACAAUGGACCAAGAGUCUGAUCCAGCAAUUAUGUGUGCACGAUGAAGUUUUUCGGAAUGUAAAGUGCUUUCAGUUGGGAAGAAAAAAAUGACGGUACCAACAGAAGAAGUGACGGCUAAAUACGUG
RNAcentral lists this ribosomal RNA (454 nucleotides) under uncultured bacterium. Its description in RNAcentral is "partial 16S ribosomal RNA". It matches the Rfam family "Bacterial small subunit ribosomal RNA", at positions 28 to 507 of the family's 1533-position model. The record is from RNAcentral.